CACAGGUGCCGCCUCUCCGCCGGUGCUCCCGUUACCCGCUCACCCCAGACCGAGCCCCCGCCUCGCUCCCUCACGCCCCGGGCCGCGACCCCGGCGUUCCCCGGGAAGUGCUGCCCGGCCAGCCCGCCGUGGCCGCCGCUGAGGGCGCAGACGGGCGAGCCGGAACCGCUCUCCGCAGAAACGCAUCUCCAGACAGAUUUUUGGGAAGGAUUUGAGUGCUCUGGAGAAGUGUUUGGGCUCUCUUGUGAGGGGGUUGCCCCAGGAUCCAUGCUGAUGGAAGCCAAGGCCAGGGCAUUGUCCCUCACCCCACAGGAAUCAUUCCCCAGAUCCCCAUCACUGCCACCUUCCUGGGAUCCAGAUCCACCUGGAGAGACUGAAAUACAAAACAGCAACAAAAUAAAGCAGAUCCCACAGAAUCCAUAAGGCUGGAAAAGACCUCUGGGAUCAUCCUAUAAUCCCAAGUGAAGCCAAGAACUCCUCUGGAGAUCAGCAGGUGAUAUCAGCCUCCCAAAAUAAGAGCUGUUCCAGGAGGAAGAGGAUGCUGAGCCAAGGCAUGCAAGUAUUUCCUUAAGGAAUUUCCUCCUGUUGAUUACAGUUUUCCAUGAAAUAUUUACAUGGCUACAGCUUCAGUUGUGCUGCUGCCCUGAUGCUGUCACACUCAUAAACCGCUUUGUAAUAAUUAAAUUUAGUUCAUUAAAUUCCUUGCUA
Poecile atricapillus (Black-capped chickadee) is the source of this 708-nucleotide long non-coding RNA. RefSeq lists it as uncharacterized. The record is from RefSeq and is a predicted model, not a curated record. NCBI's taxonomy places the organism in Eukaryota, Metazoa, Chordata, Aves, Passeriformes, Paridae. The transcript is spliced from 3 exons.